Molecule: long non-coding RNA, 691 nt
Organism: Colias croceus (clouded yellow)
Lineage: Eukaryota; Metazoa; Arthropoda; Insecta; Lepidoptera; Pieridae
Exons: 2
Source: RefSeq, a predicted model, not a curated record
UGGUCAACAAUGAACCAGCAGUACAGAGUGAACCAUGUAAAUAAUUCAGAAAUGUGACGUUGCCAUUUGGUGCAAACUGCAUUAGGUAAGCGCCUUUGAGGCCCCUCCCGCCUUCCCCAGUCGACAGUGAGCUAGCGGCGCGGGAGGCCGUGCGAGCCCAUGUUUGGUGUUUUCGUGCCGAAAAUUGUAUAAAAAUAACAUGGGCCGAACAAAAUAAGAUAGAUCUGCUAGGAAAAAAGGAUCCCACGUACCUGAAGCAAUGAAGGCUGCUGUCGAUUUACAUCUCAACGGUAUGAGCUUAAGAAAGGCUGCAAGAGAUAGCAACAUACCAUAUCCAACACUGAGAAGAUAUGUGAUAAAAUUCAAGACAGACAAGUCUGCUUCGAUGGAACCAAAUUAUAGCGUAAAUAAAUAUUCACGGAGGAACAAGAAACAAGUCUAAAGUCUUAAAAAGCAUAGUAAAGCAAAGUAUAGCAUAGUAUUGCACGAGCCAUAUCAUCCAAUCCAACGAAUUUCAAAUCAUUUUUUGACAAUCUUUAAGAAGUUUAUGGAAGAUUUCCUCAAUUUGGUGACGGCACAAGGCACGAGGGUUCAUAAUCUUGAUGAAACUAUGUUUAUGAUUUUUCCGGAAACUCUUUUAGAAAAGAAGCUAUUUGAUUGUUACUACAAAUAAAUAGGUACUUUAAAUAUA